GCCCGGAUGGCGGAAUUGGUAGACGCGCUGGUCUCAAACACCAGUAGGUUCACCCCUGUGCCGGUUCGACCCCGGCUCCGGGUACAA
RNAcentral lists this transfer RNA (87 nucleotides) under Bacteroidetes bacterium GWA2_31_9. Its description in RNAcentral is "tRNA-Leu". It matches the Rfam family "tRNA". Rfam says of the family: Transfer RNA (tRNA) molecules are approximately 80 nucleotides in length. Their secondary structure includes four short double-helical elements and three loops (D, anti-codon, and T loops). Lineage: Bacteria; Pseudomonadati; Bacteroidota. The record is from RNAcentral.